This 200-nucleotide ribosomal RNA is filed under the name uncultured bacterium. Its description in RNAcentral is "partial 16S ribosomal RNA". It matches the Rfam family "Bacterial small subunit ribosomal RNA", at positions 30 to 230 of the family's 1533-position model. The record is from RNAcentral.
AUUGAACGCUGGCGGAAUGCUUUACACAUGCAAGUCGAGCGGCAGCGCGGGGCAACCUGGCGGCGAGCGGCGAACGGGUGGGUAAUGUAUCGGAACGUGUCCUGUAGUGGGGGAUAGCCCGGCGAAAGCCGGAUUAAUACCGCAUACGAUCUAUGGAUGAAAGCAGGGGAUCGCAAGGACCUUGCGCUAUAGGGAGCGGC